This 473-nucleotide ribosomal RNA is filed under the name Myrianida hesperidium. RNAcentral describes it as "partial 16S ribosomal RNA". It matches the Rfam family "Bacterial large subunit ribosomal RNA", at positions 1830 to 2597 of the family's 2925-position model. Lineage: Eukaryota; Metazoa; Annelida; Polychaeta; Phyllodocida; Syllidae. The record is from RNAcentral.
UUCCUAUUGACUUCAUAUAUUAGGUAAACUCUGCCCAGUGAUUUUUCAACGGCCGCGGUAGCCUGACCGUGCGAAGGUAGCAUAAUCAUUUGCCUUCUAAUUAAAGGCUAGAAUGAAUGAGUCUUCAUAGAUAAACCUGUACCUUACUUACCUCUAAAACUUAAUAUUUAGGUGAAGAAGCCUAAAUCUGAUAAAAAGACAAAAAGACCCUAUCAAGCUUUAUAUUCUAAUUAUUCUCUAUAAAAAAAUAUUUGGUUGGGGAGAUUAAUGAGAAUUAAUAAACUCUCAUAAUUAUUUAGAUUUAUAAAUCAUACACUUUAAUUAUUUAAUAUAACAAAGCUACUGUAGGGAUAACAGGCUAAUAUUUUCUUAGAGUCCAAAUUAAAGAAAAUGGUUGGCACCUCGAUGUUGGCUUAGGAUUUCCUCUUCCUGCAGAAGGGAAGAAGGAAGGUUUGUUCAACCUUUAUUUUCCU